GGCCAUAGCUCAGUGGCAGAGCAUCGAUCUUGCAUGCGAAAGGUCCCAGGUUCAAUCCCCAAGUAGGGCUG
Molecule: non-coding RNA, 71 nt
Organism: Podarcis lilfordi (Lilford's wall lizard)
Lineage: Eukaryota; Metazoa; Chordata; Lepidosauria; Squamata; Lacertidae
Source: the annotation of a GenBank genome assembly